AUCAGGUGAGCCCGAAGGGCGAGCCUGAUAUUUUCUGUGAUAAAGUCAGUAUCAAAAACAAAAAGUCCUUUAUUCUGUUUAUCGGUAAUUUAAAAAAAAAAUAAAAUCACUACAAUAAUAGAGAAAAUAACAAACGAACUUCUUUUUCGCGUCGAAUCACGGCGAAUCACACUUGACGUCACAGGCUGCAUUACGUCAUUUGAAAUUUUGUCACAGUGCAGUAAACAUGGCGUUCUCUUGUACAAAGUAUUGAAAAGGAAUUAUUACAUGUGAUUCAUUUAUAUUCUACUUUGGACAUGACUCUAACAAUGGCAAAUAUAAUGGUAGCAUACCGGUAAGUCACAUUCAGAUUUCUUUAUUUUUCACAAAGCAUCAACAUAGAGGGUCCUGAUCCCG
RNAcentral lists this long non-coding RNA (396 nucleotides) under Mytilus galloprovincialis (Mediterranean mussel). The record is from RNAcentral. Lineage: Eukaryota; Metazoa; Mollusca; Bivalvia; Mytilida; Mytilidae.